AUUCACGUACACAGGAGUGUUCUUGCGUGAGCGUGUGCACACGCGCGCACACACACAUACACACACACAGGCUCUGCCCUAGCUGCCUCUCCCCUCUGCUCUCAUAGUACAGCCGGGUCAGGCACCUCUCACCUUACUUCUCACACUAUUUAAAAUUGUUUACUUGUCCAUCUUCCCACCAGGUCUUAGGCUUUAUAAGGGCAGGGUCUUGUUUGUUUGCUUGUUUUUGCUCCCUUCUCUCUCUUCUUAUACACAAAGUUCGUUGGCUGAAUUGUCCAGCAGGACUCCAGGACACAAGAGGAAACGCGCUGUUACCACCAACGACUCAGGUGUUGAGACACUAGACCAGCUUGGUGAGCGCCCACCUGAUCUUUCCAGGAUCCGGCUGACAGCAUAGGCGGUCACUCCAGAUCCCUUUCUACUCCUCCCCUUUCCCUAGUACCCAUGGGACUCAUUUGCCAGCCCCCACCCCUGGGCCAUGCACCCAAAUCUUGAUCCUCGGGAAUCUGGCAAGCUGCCCACCUGCUUCCAGACAUCCUGAACGUCGAGUGCCAGCGGGGAUCCUGCUUCACCCUCCCUCUGGCCUCAGCAUUUCUCUCCCCCCGCCUUGUGUUUAGCGACUUUCUUUCCUGCUUCCAUUUACCUCCGUUUCCUCCUGGCCUAAGCUCCGGGCCUGCCCUGGGCACCCCUGGCACCGCUCUCUAGUGAUACUCCUGCUGAAGAAGCCACUGACUGUUGUCCGGGAAGCCUGUCAUGCUGUCUCAUGUCAGUGCUCAGUGACCGUCCAGUGGAAACCAUGGUGGCCUAGGGGAAGCCACACAUCCAAACCCUGCCUUGGAAUUUGAACAAUGCCAGGAUGCAGCAGCUGUGUCUUCCAGGUGGGCCUUUGGGAGGUUCUGCCCUGGGACCCACAGACAGUGUGUUGGCUUGAGACUAACAUGAGAUGGGCAACUCCGUGAAGAGCCACAGGAACCACUAAAUAUAACGAUAAACCGGAAACAGCAAUUAUGUAUACUGUGUAAUGAAAAGAGUAAGUGACGUGGCUCAGGGGACAGCACGACCAGCAGAAGCUCAGCGGUGGAAGAGACGCAACAAGGCAAAGGGCUUGAGCAGGUAAUGAUUGACAGCUGCAGGUACGGAGGGCCAACGCUGUGCCAGGCACUUUGCAGGGGCGGGCUACAGCAGCAAGCCAGCGAAACCAGGACCCUUCUCGCACAGAGAUGAUUUAUUGAGCCCCUUCUCCCUGCCAGACGCCAUACCCCGAAAGGUACCAGGUUAAACACCUCCGCAGCCUCCCACUCCAGUCCCUUGGAGCUUCUGUCAAUGGGAUUGGAGUUUGAGACACGCUUUGCAUUCCUCUCCCUGUUUCCUGCCACCCACGCCCAGAGCCUAGAGGGCAGCGGAGUGGAGAUGCCCCGUGCAUGCCCACGAUGGGCAGGGAGGGAGAGUCCCUCCACACUCCUGCCUCUGCUCACACCAGCCACCCCUCCUCUCGACGCUUCCGAAGCCUUCCUCCCCUCCCAGCCUCUACCCCUCUAGCCCGCCUCACGAAGCCUUCCUGGGGCGGUGCUCCAGACGACACCCCCCCCUUCUGAAUUUCUGUAAUAACGUCUGUGUUUGCUAUGGUGACUUAAUGUGCCCGUUCACCCACUUUAUCUUCACGCAGUGAGGUGGGCAUGGCACUCACCACUCCCCCCUUCCCCACCCAUCUUUCAGCAACCGUGGAACUGAGUCUGGAAGA
Molecule: long non-coding RNA, 1741 nt
Organism: Globicephala melas (long-finned pilot whale)
Lineage: Eukaryota; Metazoa; Chordata; Mammalia; Artiodactyla; Delphinidae
Source: RefSeq, a predicted model, not a curated record